Heterocephalus glaber (naked mole-rat) is the source of this 574-nucleotide long non-coding RNA. The record is from Ensembl. Lineage: Eukaryota; Metazoa; Chordata; Mammalia; Rodentia; Bathyergidae.
GGGGAGACACGAAGCUAAUGGGUUGAGGUAGAUCCCACAUGUGCCUGAUAGAAAGGGGCUGAAAUGAGGGCUGCUCCUCACAGCCCCUGCUGUGCAAGUUCACUUCCUUCUCAGCUUUCCUCUGGCAUCAGCAGUCUCUUUCCAGCUACUCCCUGAUCUCUGCUCUGGUCCAGUGCUGGCAGAGAGAAGCAGAGGGAAGAUACCACAGUCAUGCAGGAGAGGAGGAGACAACGUGACCACUGAGGCAGAGAGAGAUUUGAGGACAUUGACACUGAAAAUUACAGUGAUGCAGUCACAGGCCACAGAGCACCAGCAACCCCCAGAAGCUGGAAGAGGACGGAGAGACUCCAUAGGACUUUCUUAUAUGACUUACUCUGAAGAAAUGGAAAAACAAUCACAUUUCUCUGGCUUCUCAUAAAUUCUUGGAGGUUGUACACAGAGCCCUAAAUCGUGGCCCUCUAGGUAUUGUCCUAGGCAUUGCAGACAGAACAAGGGACCAAACAAAGCUACCUCCUUUGAUUCCCUCAUGGCACUUACUCUGCAGUGUGGGGAAAUAGACAACUGAAAAACAGAG